GACGAACGCUGGCGGCGUGCCUAAUACAUGCAAGUCGAGCGGUUGAAGCCUUCGGGCAGAGAUAGCGGCGGACGGGUGAGUAACACGUAGGUAACCUGCCUAUUAGACUGGGAUAACUACCGGAAACGGUAGCUAAGACCGGAUACGACCAUUUGGGGGCAUCCUUAGAUGGUGAAAAGCGGAGUAAUCUGCUACUGAUA
This 200-nucleotide ribosomal RNA is filed under the name uncultured bacterium. RNAcentral describes it as "partial 16S ribosomal RNA". It matches the Rfam family "Bacterial small subunit ribosomal RNA", at positions 28 to 223 of the family's 1533-position model. The record is from RNAcentral.